This 598-nucleotide ribosomal RNA is filed under the name Antirrhinum sempervirens. RNAcentral describes it as "eukaryotic LSU rRNA". The stretch from base 236 to 391 matches the Rfam family "5.8S ribosomal RNA". The record is from RNAcentral. Lineage: Eukaryota; Viridiplantae; Streptophyta; Magnoliopsida; Lamiales; Plantaginaceae.
UCGAAACCUGCAAAGCAGACCCGCGAACACGUGUUUAACCCCCGGGCGUCGAGCCGAGGGAGNACGCAAGUCCCUCCUCGUUGAGACGCCCUGCCCGCUCGACGCGUGCGUCGUUCGGGCUAACGAACCCCGGCGCGGCAUGCGCCAAGGAAAACAACUGAGAAGUGUCGUGCCCCCGCUGCCCCGUUUGCGGGUGCCUGCGGGGGGGAACUCGACCUAUCUUGAAUGUCAAAACGACUCUCGGCAACGGAUAUCUCGGCUCUCGCAUCGAUGAAGAACGUAGCGAAAUGCGAUACUUGGUGUGAAUUGCAGAAUCCCGUGAACCAUCGAGUCUUUGAACGCAAGUUGCGCCCGAAGCCAUUAGGCCGAGGGCACGUCUGCCUGGGCGUCACGCAUCGCGUCGCCCCCUCCCUCUAAGGGAUGGGGCGGAAAAUAGCCUCCCGUGCGCAAACGCGUGCGGCCGGCCCAAAUCUGAUCCCGCGUCGACGGAUGUCGCGACAAAGUGUGGUUGAACUCUCAACUCGCGUGUUGUCGUGACUGGCUCCGUUGCAUGCUCGGGCAUCUUUUUGACCCAACGGCGCCUAAUCGCGCUUUCGAC